GACGAACGCUGGCGGCGUGCUUAACACAUGCAAGUCGAACGGAAAGGCCCUGCUUGCAGGGUACUCGAGUGGCGAACGGGUGAGUAACACGUGGGUGCUCCGCCCUGCACUUUUGGAUAAGCUUGGGAAACUGGGUCUAAAACCGGAUAGGAACCAUCUUUAGUGUAGUGGUGGGAAAGUUUUUUGGGUGUAGGGUGAGCUCGCGGGCUAUCAGCUUGUUGGGGGGGUAAUGGGCUACCAAGGCGGCGACGGGUAGCCGGCCUGUGAGGGUGUACGGCCACAGUGGGUCUGAGGGACGGCCCAAGCUCCUACGGGAGGGCACAGUGGGGAAUAUUGCACCAGGGGCGCAAGGCUGGUGCAGCGAGGCCGCGGGGUGGAAGAACGCCUUCGGGUUGUAAAAUCGUUUCGGUAGGGACGAAGCUUUUUGUGACGGUACCUAGAUAAGAAGCACCGGCUAACUACGUG
Molecule: ribosomal RNA, 465 nt
Filed under: uncultured bacterium
Lineage: Bacteria
Description: partial 16S ribosomal RNA
Rfam family: Bacterial small subunit ribosomal RNA
Source: RNAcentral